This 253-nucleotide ribosomal RNA is filed under the name uncultured bacterium. RNAcentral's name for it is "partial 16S ribosomal RNA". It matches the Rfam family "Bacterial small subunit ribosomal RNA", at positions 524 to 776 of the family's 1533-position model. The record is from RNAcentral.
UACGAAGGGGGCUAGCGUUGUUCGGAGUUACUGGGCGUAAAGGGCGCGUAGGCGGCCGGCCAAGUUGGGUGUGAAAGCCCGGGGCUCAACCCCGGAUGUGCACUCGAGACUGGUUGGCUUGAGGACGGGAGAGGAUGGUGGAAUUCCCAGUGUAGAGGUGAAAUUCGUAGAUAUUGGGAAGAACACCGGUGGCGAAGGCGGCCAUCUGGACCGUAUCUGACGCUGAGGCGCGAAAGCGUGGGGAGCAAACAGG